UCAUCACCAACAACGUCGUGUUCAGGAACGACGCUGUCGGCGAUGAAAUAGUCCGACUCUAUGGUCACGGUACCUAAGCUGAAUGCGCAAGGACUUAAAGUAUGCACCCCUUGUGGUCAUAUAGAGUGCCUUGGUCACCGUUGAUAAUACACUUGAAGGAGGUGUACAACCUAAUUAUUCUGAGGCUAUACUCUUUUUCUUGUGACGCACUUUGCCUUAAAAAAAACUCGACCAGGGGGAGAGACGUCCCUCUAAUUUUCGUCUUAAGAAGAUGGUGCCAUGACUUGAACCCGGGCUGGCUCAACCAACCGCUUCUUUGAGGCACUUUGCCUUAGGAGACUCAUGCAUGGAUUCAAUCCGUACCACAUGCUAAAGCGUAGCGACAACAUGGAGCACUUAUCCUAUCUACUACGAUGCCUAGAAUGAAUUAAUCCAAAAGUUUGUGCAGGGGAUGAUUUCCAUUCUCUAGAAGUACAGAGAAACUGGCUUUUCCAAAGCAUUGGAAGCUGCAAAAGAAAUUGCAAUGGAGAUGGAUAUUCAUCCAGAGUUUUGCACCAAGCAUAAAAUCAAAAGAAAAGACAGUUUGACGAGGGCAUAGAUGAUGCAUCUAUUGUUUCAUUCACAAUCUGCAGAGGAGUCAUUUAGGACAAUUAUUUUGUACCUGUUGUUGAUCAACCUAUAUAGCUUCACUUGCCAACAUAUUUGGACAAUACUAGGGCUUUAAGAAAACAUUUGGCUUCUCGUUUACAUCGGAUAGGCUAUGAUCCAUUGAUGAUGAGAGUUUGAUGGCUGCUUGUGUUAAUCUUGAGGAUGCCCUUAAGAGUGGGGUACAUAAGGAUACUGAUGGACGAGAUUUGUGUGUG
Long non-coding RNA from Sorghum bicolor (sorghum), 863 nucleotides. RefSeq lists it as uncharacterized. The transcript has 3 exons. Lineage: Eukaryota; Viridiplantae; Streptophyta; Magnoliopsida; Poales; Poaceae. The record is from RefSeq and is a predicted model, not a curated record.